Molecule: non-coding RNA, 81 nt
Filed under: uncultured Metasolibacillus sp.
Lineage: Bacteria; Bacillati; Bacillota; Bacilli; Caryophanales; Caryophanaceae
Source: RNAcentral
ACCUACUUGGUGACAAGUAGCUGAACUGUCAGAAGUCAGCAGAGGUCAUAGUACAAGUAAGUCUAGAAUUACUUGGAAGGA